GACGAACGCUGGCGGCGUGCUUAACACAUGCAAGUCGAACGGAAAGGCCCUGCUUUUGUGGGGUGCUCGAGUGGCGAACGGGUGAGUAACACGUGAGUAACCUGCCCUUGACUUUGGGAUAACUUCAGGAAACUGGGGCUAAUACCGGAUAGGAGCUCCUGCUGCAUGGUGGGGGUUGGAAAGUUUCGGCGGUUGGGGAUGGACUCGCGGCUUAUCAGCUUGUUGGUGGGGUAGUGGCUUACCAAGGCUUUGACGGGUAGCCGGCCUGAGAGGGUGACCGGCCACAUUGGGACUGAGAUACGGCCCAGACUCCUACGGGAGGCAGCAGUGGGGAAUAUUGCACAAUGGGCGGAAGCCUGAUGCAGCAACGCCGCGUGCGGGAUGACGGCCUUCGGGUUGUAAACCGCUUUCGCCUGUGACGAAGCGUGAGUGACGGUAAUGGGUAAAGAAGCACCGGCUAACUACGUGCCAGCAGCCGCGGUGAUACGUAGGGUGCGAGCGUUGUCCGGAUUUAUUGGGCGUAAAGGGCUCGUAGGUGGUUGAUCGCGUCGGAAGUGUAAUCUUGGGGCUUAACCCUGAGCGUGCUUUCGAUACGGGUUGACUUGAGGAAGGUAGGGGAGAAUGGAAUUCCUGGUGGAGCGGUGGAAUGCGCAGAUAUCAGGAGGAACACCAGUGGCGAAGGCGGUUCUCUGAGCCUUUCCUGACGCUGAGGAGCGAAAGCGUGGGGAGCGAACAGGCUUAGAUACCCUGGUAGUCCGCGCUGUAAACGGUGGGUACUAGGUGUGGGGUCCAUUCCACGGGUUCCGUGCCGUAGCUAACGCUUUAAGUACCCCGCCUGGGGAGUACGGCCGCAAGGCUAAAACUCAAAGGAAUUGACGGGGCCCCGCACAAGCGGCGGAGCAUGCGGAUUAAUUCGAUGCAACGCGUAGAACCUUACCUGGGUUUGACAUGGAUCGGGAGUGCUCAGAGAUGGGUGUGCCUCUUUUGGGGUCGGUUCACAGGUGGUGCAUGGCUGUCGUCAGCUCGUGUCGUGAGAUGUUGGGUUAAGUCCCGCAACGAGCGCAACCCUUGUUCACUGUUGCCAGCACGUUAUGGUGGGGACUCAGUGGAGACCGCCGGGGUCAACUCGGAGGAAGGUGGGGAUGACGUCAAGUCAUCAUGCCCCUUAUGUCCAGGGCUUCACGCAUGCUACAAUGGCUGGUACAGAGAGUGGCGAGCCUGUGAGGGCGAGCGAAUCUCGGAAAGCCGGUCUCAGUUCGGAUUGGGGUCUGCAACUCGACCUCAUGAAGUCGGAGUCGCUAGUAAUCGCAGAUCAGCAACGCUGCGGUGAAUACGUUCCCGGG
This 1343-nucleotide ribosomal RNA is filed under the name uncultured bacterium. RNAcentral describes it as "16S ribosomal RNA". It matches the Rfam family "Bacterial small subunit ribosomal RNA", at positions 28 to 1378 of the family's 1533-position model. The record is from RNAcentral.